Molecule: ribosomal RNA, 839 nt
Filed under: uncultured bacterium
Lineage: Bacteria
Description: bacterial SSU rRNA
Rfam family: Bacterial small subunit ribosomal RNA
Source: RNAcentral
CAUGCAAGUCGAACGAGAAUCUGCUGAAGGAGGAUUCGUCCAACGGAUGUAGAGGAAAGUGGCGGACGGGUGAGUAACGCGUGAGGAACCUGCCUUGAAGAGGGGGACAACAGUUGGAAACGACUGCUAAUACCGCAUGAAGCAUAGGGGUCGCAUGAUCCUUAUGCCAAAGAUUUAUCGCUUCAAGAUGGCCUCGCGUCUGAUUAGCUGGUUGGCGGGGUAACGGCCCACCAAGGCGACGAUCAGUAGCCGGACUGAGAGGUUGAACGGCCACAUUGGGACUGAGAUACGGCCCAGACUCCUACGGGAGGCAGCAGUGGGGAAUAUUGGGCAAUGGGCGCAAGCCUGACCCAGCAACGCCGCGUGAAGGAAGAAGGCUUUCGGGUUGUAAACUUCUUUUAAGAGGGAAGAGCAGAAGACGGUACCUCUAGAAUAAGCCACGGCUAACUACGUGCCAGCAGCCGCGGUAAUACGUAGGUGGCAAGCGUUGUCCGGAUUUACUGGGUGUAAAGGGCGUGCAGCCGGGUCUGCAAGUCAGAUGUGAAAUCCAUGGGCUCAACCCAUGAACUGCAUUUGAAACUGUAGAUCUUGAGUGUCGGAGGGGCAAUCGGAAUUCCUAGUGUAGCGGUGAAAUGCGUAGAUAUUAGGAGGAACACCAGUGGCGAAGACGGAUUGCUGGACGAUAACUGACGGUGAGGCGCGAAAGUGUGGGGAGCAAACAGGAUUAGAUACCCUGGUAGUCCACACUGUAAACGAUGAAUACUAGGUGUGCGGGGACUGACCCCCCUGCGUGCCGCAGUAAACACAAUAAGUAUUCCACCUGGGGAGUACGAUCGCAA